GGCCCCGUGGUGUAAUGGUAGCACAUCAGGUUUUGGUCCUGAGUGUCCGGGUUCGAGUCCUGGCGGGGCUACAA
RNAcentral lists this transfer RNA (74 nucleotides) under Muribaculum intestinale. Its description in RNAcentral is "tRNA-Gln". It matches the Rfam family "tRNA". From Rfam's summary of the family: Transfer RNA (tRNA) molecules are approximately 80 nucleotides in length. Their secondary structure includes four short double-helical elements and three loops (D, anti-codon, and T loops). The record is from RNAcentral. Lineage: Bacteria; Pseudomonadati; Bacteroidota; Bacteroidia; Bacteroidales; Muribaculaceae.